UAUAUAUAUAUAUAUAUAUAUAUAUAUAUAUAUAUAUAUAUAUAUAUACACAGUACCCUCCCGAGUUUAGCGCUAUCCGAGUUUCGCGAUCCUCGAGUUUGGCGCUUAGUCCUAAAUUCUUACCAUCCCGAGUUUGGCGCUGUAUCGCCCCGAGUUUCGCGCUGCUUUGACAAGUAUUGGUCGCGUUUACUUCCGGGUGGCGUCACGUAUGCUGCCCCAAGACUCCUGCAGUUGGCUGACUGAGCUGACCACGUGUGCACGCGUCCUUAGCCCUCUUCUACCAGCAUCUUGAUAGUUCUUAUAUGCAAGCUAAUUAAUUGUGAUGUCAGGAAAUAAAGGAGGCACUGCAGCAUGUGGCUCGAAGAAACCUACUUC
Long non-coding RNA from Portunus trituberculatus (swimming crab), 375 nucleotides. RefSeq lists it as uncharacterized. The transcript is spliced from 3 exons. NCBI's taxonomy places the organism in Eukaryota, Metazoa, Arthropoda, Malacostraca, Decapoda, Portunidae. The record is from RefSeq and is a predicted model, not a curated record.